Scylla paramamosain (green mud crab) is the source of this 1779-nucleotide RNA transcript. RefSeq lists it as uncharacterized. NCBI's taxonomy places the organism in Eukaryota, Metazoa, Arthropoda, Malacostraca, Decapoda, Portunidae. The transcript has 2 exons. The record is from RefSeq and is a predicted model, not a curated record.
UUAACUCUUUAUUGGUCACAUUAUAAUUGUAUUGAGUCAAAAUCUAUUUUAUUUUUUUCACAUACCUGCGGAGUCACAUAGGUUAGGGUAGGUUAGGCUCCCAAAAGUCAUAUUUACCCAACUUACAUAUUACCCCUGGGUCGCUUGCCAGGGUAAAGCCCCUUCAUCAUUGAAAUAAGCCAUGAAAGUAUCCCUUACUUGCUUAGCAGCCAUAAUGGAAUUUCUUGUUGGGCCUUGUUGCAGAGGACAAAAUGAAUUACGUUGUCCCACAGCAUUAUCUUCUUCACUGUCAAGUGGACAAUAGCUUGCACCAAUUUUCUUCCUUAAGUAGUUAUGUAAAACACAGCAGCCUAAAACAACCUUAUCUAUAUUACUCACUUUCAGAUUUAUCGGGGCAGAAAAAACGCGAAAGCGUGAUGACAUAAUGCCAAACACGUUUUCAAUCACCCUUCGAGCCCUCGAAAGCCUGUAAUUAAAUACGCAUCGUUCUUCUGUCAACUCCCUUGAACUAAAAGGCUUCAAAAAAUCCUUCCUCAAGAGUGAGCACUCGAGUUGGGCAUGGACCACUCUCCAGACUGCACCACCAACACCUACCCAGUCUUCAGUGCCAACUCCCAGCCCGUUUCCAGUGCUGACUCCUAGCCCGUCUCCAGUGCCAACUCCUAGCCCGUCUCCAGUGCCAACUCCCGGCCUGUCUUCAGGCCCAACUCCCACCCGAUCUUCAGGCCCAACUCCCGGCCCGUCCUCAGGCCCAACUCCCACCCCAUCUUCAGGGCCAACUCCCGGCCCGUCUUCAAGCCCAACUGAACGUGAGUUUCAGGAAACUCAGCCUCAAAAGCAACGGAAGAAAGCAGACCAAAAAGAUGUACUAGAUCUGCUUCUUAAGCAAAUUGCCUCAAAAGAGGAAGCUAGUAGAGAGUUCACUCAUGCAAAAGCAUGGGCGCAAGAGUUAGCAAAAAUGGACCCAACACAAGCCGAUAAAUGUUGUUGCAUAAUUAGCGAUGCCAUUUACAAGGGCAAGCAAGGGCUCCUUGGGCCAAAUACAAUAAUUUCGCAACGAGUAACCGACGUUCAGCAAAUUGUAGAGUGCUCUGCAGGCAACCAACAAGAGGACCUAGCAAUUUAUUUUUCUAACUUUCAAGGUUCACAAUUUCAUAAUUAAUGCAUUAAUUGUAAACACAUAAACAUAUUGAUUAAAUUUCAAGUAACUGAAGCAGUAUUUUACUUACCUUCAUAUAAUCCUUAGCAAGCAUUCUAUAGAUAGCGACACAGGUCUCAGGUAUGAUGACUCCUAAAGCUUGGGGAGAGAUCGAAGUGGAAAACUUUAGGUCUUCAUAUGAUCUCCCAGUUGCUAAAAAACGAAGGGUCGCUGUAAGCCUCUCAUGGGGUGAAAUUGCUUUUCGCAUGACGGUAUCUUGUCUUUUAAUUAAUGGAGUCAAUAGUGAUAACAAUUCUGAGUAGGUUUGCUCAUACAUUCGCAAGUAAUUGAAAUAAUCGACAGGUUCCAAAUGAAAUUCAUUUAACAAUCCUUCAUGCGAUAAGCUAUCCCUCUUCAAAAGCCAUGGCUUGCACCAUCUUGAUUUUUUUUUCCUUUUUCUUUGUAAUGUAGGUGCUAGUGCUACAUUUACUAAAUCGUCAGAUGAAAAACAAUCAGAGAGAGACAUCUUUCCAAUUCAAAAUGAUGAGAAAAACUGAGCCAAAGAAUGUAAUGUGAGUGGCCUACCCACUUGGGUAUAGGUUUGCACAGUUGACCAUACCAUAACCCUACCAUUGCUAAAG